AGUCACAUGACUUACUGUCCAGGGAGGGGAUAGGUAGACCUAUAGUCACAUGACUUACUGUCCAGGGAGGGGAAAGGUAGACCUAUAGUCACAUGACUUACUGUCCAGGGAGGGGAUAGGUAGACCUAUAGUCACAUGACUUACUGCCCAGGGAGGGGAUAGGUAGACCUAUAGUCACAUGACUUACUGCCCAGGGAGGGGAAAGGUAGACCUAUAGUCACAUGACUUACUCUCCAGGGAGGGGAAAGGUAGGCCUAUAGUCACAUGACUUACUGUCCAGGGAGGGGAUAGGUAGACCUAUAGUCACAUGACUUACAAGAUGAUUUCCAAUAGGUGCAGGGU
Oncorhynchus tshawytscha (Chinook salmon) is the source of this 342-nucleotide long non-coding RNA. NCBI's taxonomy places the organism in Eukaryota, Metazoa, Chordata, Actinopteri, Salmoniformes, Salmonidae. The record is from Ensembl.